RNAcentral lists this ribosomal RNA (1218 nucleotides) under Marinococcus luteus. Its description in RNAcentral is "bacterial SSU rRNA". It matches the Rfam family "Bacterial small subunit ribosomal RNA", at positions 84 to 1279 of the family's 1533-position model. Lineage: Bacteria; Bacillati; Bacillota; Bacilli; Caryophanales; Bacillaceae. The record is from RNAcentral.
CCGGUGGACGAGCGGCGGACGGGUGAGUAACACGUGGGCAACCUGCCGGACUGAUGGGAAUAACCCCGGGAAACCGGGGCUUAAUGCCCAAUACGCCCUGACCUCGCCUGAGGUCAGCGGUAAAGCAGGGAUCUUCGGAUCCUUGCACAGUCCGAUGGGCCCGCGGCGCAUUAGCUAGUUGGAGAGGUAAGGGCUCCCCAAGGCGACGAUGCGUAGCCGACCUGAGAGGGUGAUCGGCCACACUGGGACUGAGACACGGCCCAGACUCCUACGGGAGGCAGCAGUAGGGAAUCAUCCGCAAUGGGCGAAAGCCUGACGGUGCAACGCCGCGUGAGUGAUGAAGGUUUUCGGAUCGUAAAGCUCUGUUGACAGGGAAGAACCCACGCCAGUCGAACAGGCUGGCGUGCUGACGGUACCUGUCCAGAAAGCCCCGGCUAACUACGUGCCAGCAGCCGCGGUAAUACGUAGGGGGCAAGCGUUGUCCGGAAUUAUUGGGCGUAAAGGGCACGCAGGCGGUUUCGUCAGUCCGAUGUGACAGGCCACGGCUCAACCGUGGAAGGCCAUUGGAAACUGCGAAACUUGAGGACAGAAGAGGAGAGUGGAAUUCCACGUGUAGCGGUGAAAUGCGUAGAUAUGUGGAGGAACACCAGUGGCGAAGGCGACUCUCUGGUCUGUACCUGACGCUGAGGUGCGAAAGCAUGGGGAGCAAACAGGAUUAGAUACCCUGGUAGUCCAUGCCGUAAACGCUGAGUGCUAGGUGUUAGGGGUUUCGAUACCCGUAGUGCCGAAGCUAACGCAUUAAGCACUCCGCCUGGGGAGUACGACCGCAAGGUUGAAACUCAAAGGAAUUGACGGGGGCCCGCACAAGCGGUGGAGCAUGUGGUUUAAUUCGACGCAACGCGAAGAACCUUACCAGAUCUUGACAUCUUCCGCUACGCCUCGAGAGAGGCGGUUCCCCUUCGGGGGACGGAAUGACAGGUGGUGCAUGGUUGUCGUCAGCUCGUGUCGUGAGAUGUUGGGUUAAGUCCCGCAACGAGCGCAACCCCUAAUCUUAGUUGCCAGCAUUCAGUUGGGCACUCUAAGGUGACUGCCGGUGACAAACCGGAGGAAGGUGGGGAUGACGUCAAAUCAUCAUGCCCCUUAUGAUCUGGGCUACACACGUGCUACAAUGGAUGGUACAACGGGAUGCGAACCCGCGAGGGGGAGCCAAUCCAGAAA